RNAcentral lists this ribosomal RNA (234 nucleotides) under uncultured Lactobacillaceae bacterium. RNAcentral's name for it is "partial 16S ribosomal RNA". It matches the Rfam family "Bacterial small subunit ribosomal RNA", at positions 107 to 334 of the family's 1533-position model. Lineage: Bacteria; Bacillati; Bacillota; Bacilli; Lactobacillales; Lactobacillaceae. The record is from RNAcentral.
UGAGUAACACGUGGGAAACCUGCCCAGAAGCGGGGGAUAACACCUGGAAACAGAUGCUAAUACCGCAUAACAACUUGGACCGAAUGGUCCGAGUUUGAAAGAUGGCUUCGGCUAUCACUUUUGGAUGGUCCCGCGGCGUAUUAGCUAGAUGGUGGGGUAACGGCUCACCAUGGCAAUGAUACGUAGCCGACCUGAGAGGGUAAUCGGCCACAUUGGGACUGAGACACGGCCCAA